RNAcentral lists this ribosomal RNA (253 nucleotides) under uncultured bacterium. RNAcentral's name for it is "partial 16S ribosomal RNA". It matches the Rfam family "Bacterial small subunit ribosomal RNA", at positions 524 to 776 of the family's 1533-position model. The record is from RNAcentral.
GACAGAGGAUGCAAGCGUUAUCCGGAAUGAUUGGGCGUAAAGCGUCUGUAGGUGGCUUUUCAAGUCCGCCGUCAAAUCCCAGGGCUCAACCCUGGACAGGCGGUGGAAACUACCAAGCUGGAGUACGGUAGGGGCAGAGGGAAUUUCCGGUGGAGCGGUGAAAUGCGUAGAUAUCGAGAGGAACACCUGCGGCGAAGGCGGGUUGCUGGGCCGACACUGACGCUGAUGCGCGAAAGCCAGGGGAGCGAACGGG